UUUUGGGAACAUGUCUUAACUCUUCUUGCAGUGUAUCCUGUCAAUUCUGUUUAAAGUGUAUAUUUAAAUUGUAUAUUUCCUUAUUAUAUAUGGCAUAAGCUAUGAAAACUUCAGAGUAUCCAUCAGAAGUUUUUAUUUUCACAAAUUCAAGAAUGUCCUGUCCUUCUUGACUUUCAGCUCCUGGCUGCAGAAAUACAUACAUGGUUUUCUCCAGUUCUUCGCAUUCAUCCCCAGAGACCUAUACUAUUAGUCAAACGUCUGGACAUUCUUCAUGUAUUUGAUAGAAAGUGUUUUUAGCAUUAUUCCAGAAGUUGGGAGACACCUUCUGCAAAAAAUACUUACAGUGGCAGAUAAAGAACAGUCUUGAGUCAUCUUUACAAAAGAAUUUCAAAAUGGGCGGCCACUGGACCCUCACCAUGUGAGCUACAAGGCUCUCCAGCACAAAACAGCAGGUAUGAAGUAACACCAUGAUGGUGGUGUGCCGGCAGUCCAGGGUUUAGAAUGAGCGACAGGUCUCCACACCCUGAACUGAACCAUCAGUGACGCUUCCUUCUGUGGCGUGCCUUUGUGUUGUUGAACCAGCCAUUUCUCUUUCUGUGCCUCCAUGAACACACCUCACAGGUAGGUCCACAUUUCAUAACUUCAUAACACUUUUCGAAUUUGACAUUCAUGGUUUUGGUUUUGACCAUGAACAAUUAAAUGAGAAUAUUUUUGGAGCUUGUCAAAAGAUCACAGAAAUUUACAGAUGAUACAUAUACCAAACUGAAUCGAUUGGACAUUAUUUAGAAAGGCACAUGGGUACCUGUGUAUAUAAAGUACAACAAUUUACACUGUCAGGACAAAAAUCAAGCCAUGAAGUCCAAGGAACUCUCUUAAGUUCUCCAAACAUAGAUGAGGGCAUGAGGUACAGUGGAUCAGUGGCUCUAAACAAGUUUUGUAAAUAAAUAAUCGCCACACUUGUGGAUUAAAGAGGUGGCGCGGUAGUGUGGCUGCGAUACGGGCGUGGGUGUUUCCGCACUGAGGUGCACAGGUGCGGGAUCGCCCAUGUCCGAGAUGCUGAUCGCCACACCUGUGUCAUGUCCCCAUUAUUAGUAGGGAGGGAAGAAGAAAGAAAAGAGAUGGAUGAGAAGGAUGAGAGGCAGGAAGCUGUAAGAGCAGGUCUGGGAGUGAGUGAGCGAGCGAGUGGGCUCAUUGGUUAAGGCAGUCAUUUCCAGGAAAGCCCCUGGAAUGAGUGUUUGGCCGACAUUCGGGGGCUGAAGGAAGUGGUCGCUCCAGCUGAUCAGUUUCUAGGAGUUGGAGUGACCGGCAGUGUGGAGGACUCGCUGCGAAAGACAGUAUGAGUCGAGGAGGAUUGGGAGGGUGAGCCUCAGUGUCAGUGCCCUGGCCGUUGGGGAACCAAGUCUCGGUCUGGAGGUCAGCUGCACCUGCAGGUUGGUAAAAAUACAUUUAUACAUACACACACACAAACACACAAACACUACCAGUCAAAGGUUUGGACACAGAGAAAACCAUUUUGAGAACAGAACUGAGCUUUAGGAAUGCCAGUGUCUCACAACCCAUGUGAAUAGAGUAGCAUGUUUCAGCUCUGCUAACUCGAUUACUAAGGUUUCUCUAAUAACCAAAUAGCAUUUAUACACGACUGAUUAAAGUGAAGGGAAUUGACGACUCAGACACUAAAGGAAUGGCUGCUGAAAAUGGGGCACUGCAGCCCAAUGUGAAUAGUAAAUUAAAAAUCAGUUAUCUCUAGCAGUAACAACCUUUAGCAACACUAGGAAUGACUCAUUUGUAUUUUUAAAUUAAUGAAAUGGUAACUUAAUUAAAAAAAAAAAAAUUAAAUUCUAUGAAAAACAA
Molecule: long non-coding RNA, 1851 nt
Organism: Polypterus senegalus (gray bichir)
Lineage: Eukaryota; Metazoa; Chordata; Cladistia; Polypteriformes; Polypteridae
Exons: 3
Source: RefSeq, a predicted model, not a curated record